CAUACAAAUUCAACUCUUUUGUCCAAAAUCAAUCUGACAUCAUCAUCACCAUCAUCAUCUUCAUCUUCAUCAUUCUUUCCAUGGUCAAAUUCAAAUUCCACACAAAAGUCCCAAUGAAAUUGCCGUACAGAUAAACUUCAAUCGCGAGAAAAUUGAGGAAACAGAUAAAGGAAGAAAACGAGAAACCUAAGAAAAUCGUAGAUAGUAAUUCAAAGCAGCUGGAUGCAGAAUAUAAUACAAUCUUGCUGCUUCAAUUGGCUGAAAUCCUCAUAUUCCCCGCCCACAUGGGCCACUGCUAUAGGCGGCGUUUUUGUCAUCGUCACACUUAUUCUCUCCAUUUACCUACUGUUCGAACACCUCUCCGCUUACAAACAUCCGGAGGAGCAAAAGUUUUUGAUCGGAGUCAUAUUGAUGGUGCCCUGCUAUGCUGUUGAAUCUUUUGUGUCAUUGUUGAAUCCAUCAAUCAGUGUUGAUGUUGAGAUCCUUCGUGAUGGCUAUGAGUCCUUUGCAAUGUAUUGCUUUGGGAGAUAUCUCGUUGCCUGUUUAGGUGGGGAGGACAGGACUAUAGAGUUCAUGGAGAGGGAGGGACGUGCAACUUCCAAAACACCCUUACUGGAUCAUGGCUCAGAAAGGGGAAUAAUACAGCAUCACUUUCCUUUUAAUCUUUUCAUGAAGCCAUGGAAAUUGAGUCAAUGGGUUUAUCAAGUUAUCAAGUUUGGAAUUGUCCAAUAUAUGCUUAUAAAAGCAUUUACUGCUAUUCUGGCAGUAAUUCUGGAAGCUUUUGGUGUUUAUUGUGAGGGAGAGUUUAGAUGGAACUGUGGGUAUCCCUACAUGGCCGUGGUUUUAAAUUUCAGUCAAUCGUGGGCUUUGUAUUGCUUAGUGCAAUUUUACAGCAUCACAAAGGUUGAAUUAGCACACAUUAAGCCAUUAGCCAAGUUUCUGACAUUUAAGUCAAUUGUGUUCUUGACUUGGUGGCAAGGUAUCUUUAUUGCCCUUUUCUAUGAUCUUGGCCUGCUAAGAAGCCCUAUAGCUCAAGCUUUGCAGUUCCAGUCAAGUGUUCAAGAUUUUAUAAUAUGCAUUGAGCACAGAUGGGCAUCGCUUCUGUGGUUCAUCUGUAUGUGUUCCCUGCAAAGCCGUAUGAGCUGAUGGAAGACUAUUUCCCUGGAAGUGUUUCAGUUCUUGGAGACUAUAUUGGUGAAUAUCCAGUUGAUCCUGAAGAGGUUAGAGACAGUGAGCGUCCUACAAAAUUGCGCCUUCCCCAACCUGAAGUUAAUGUUAGAAGUGGAAUGACCAUCAAAGAAAGCGUUAAGGACGUUUUUGUUGGUGCUGGUGAAUUUAUUGUGAAUGAUGUGAAGUUUACUGUGACACAAGCUGUAGAGCCCAUGGAGAAGGGAAUUUCCCAUAUAAAUAAGAAACUGCAUAAGAUCUCUCAGAACAUGAAGAGGCAUGAAAAAGAGAGGAGGACUAAGGACGACAGCUGUAUUGAUUCUCCAUCUCGCAGAGUAAUUCGUGGAAUAGAUGAUCCCCUCUUAAAUGGUAGUAUGAGUGAUACUGGGAGUGUUAGGAAGAAGAGGCACCGUCGAAAAUCUGGAUACACCAGUGCAGAAAGCGGUGGUGAGAGCAGCAGUGAUCUUAGAUAUGGUGACUAUCAGAUCCGAGGCAGGAGGUGGGUUACCAAAGACUAAUGUUGCACAUGAACAGACAAUUGUGUACAGGAGAUCCCUCGGCGUGAUCUUUUUUCUCCUUCAACGCGAGGACUGCUCUCUUCAAAGCAUGUUUCUGCUGCAAUGAAGUUCAAAGUUUUCAUUUUGGAAUUACAUCAAUGCUUGGGUUUUACUCGUAUCAUCCGAUUGAAGUGGCAUCCUGAAAGGGUGUAUGGAGACACUUUGCCGUAUGCAUUACAUCAAACUUAAUAGGCGAAAAGAUUGUACCAUAGAGCUCUCUCUAAAUUGGUUGCGAAGUUUCCAAACCGUAUUAGGAUGAAUUUGCUCAACCAGUUUUUCGAACACCUCUCCUUAAAUGCAAAUCGAUGUCUUCCUUAGGUUGUUGUACCACAGACUCGUUUAAUUUUGAUCAGUUGCUGAGUUUUUCAUGGGCAGGGAUGGAUCAAGACAAUCUAAAGCUGUGUGCGCAACUUUCCAUCUCAUGAUUCUUUUCCAUAGUUGCAGUUCUGACAAGAGGAUUCUCCUCCACGACUUCAAAUAUUGCAUCUUCUCAGGGCUGAGAAUGAAUGGUGCAGUCCAACGAUGCAGGCAAGAUUUGUAAUUUUUUACUUCUAGUUGAUUGUGAUCGAUCUGGAUUUCAAAAAAGGCAUAGCUUCUUUCGUUACUACUGCUAAAUAAAUGUCAUGUGGGACGACCCUCCUUGUGUAAGAUGAUUUUAUCACCUCUCAAAAGGGCUAUCACUUUUCCUAUCGAGCAUGUUCUCAUUUUAUGUAAUGUCAAAUAGGUACCUAAAAAGUUAUGUUUGGUGAGUCAAGUCUUUCUGUAUUUUUAAACAUAAUAAUCAAGUAGCACAUCAUCAUGAUUUUUCCUUUUUUAA
Coffea arabica (coffee) is the source of this 2541-nucleotide non-coding RNA. Lineage: Eukaryota; Viridiplantae; Streptophyta; Magnoliopsida; Gentianales; Rubiaceae. The record is from RefSeq and is a predicted model, not a curated record.